Molecule: ribosomal RNA, 251 nt
Filed under: uncultured prokaryote
Description: partial 16S rRNA
Rfam family: Bacterial small subunit ribosomal RNA
Source: RNAcentral
ACGUAGGGGGCAAGCGUUGUUCGGAAUUAUUGGGCGUAAAGGGCGUCUAGGCGGGGGAUUAAGUCAGAUGUGAAAGCCCUGGGCUCAACCCAGGAACUGCUUGUAAAACUGGUUCACUUGAGUGCGGGAGAGGAAAGCGGAAUUCCCGGUGUAGCGGUGAAAUGCGUAGAUAUCAGGAAGAACACCAGUGGCGAAGGCGUCUGUCUGGACUGGAACUGACGCUGAAGCGCGAAAGCGUGGGGAGCGAACAG